GAUGAAGACGCAGCGAAAUGCGAUAAGUAGUGUGAAUUGCAGAAUUCAGUGAAUCAUCGAAUCUUUGAACGCACAUUGCGCCCCUUGGUAUUCCAUGGGGCAUGCCUGUUCGAGCGUCAUUUGUACCUUCAAGCUUUGCUUGGUGUUGGGUGUUUGUCCAUUCUCUUGCAGAGGGACUCGCCUUAAAGUAAUUGGCAGCCAGUGUUUUGGUUUUGAAGCGCAGCACAAGUCGCGAUUCAACGCUAUACGCCAGCUUCCACAAGCCUUUUUCACUUUUGACCUCGGAUCAGGUAGGGAUACCCGCUGAACUUAAGCAUAUCAAUAAGCGGAGGA
This 333-nucleotide unclassified non-coding RNA is filed under the name soil metagenome. Its description in RNAcentral is "partial contains 5.8S ribosomal RNA, internal transcribed spacer 2, and large subunit ribosomal RNA". The stretch from base 1 to 119 matches the Rfam family "5.8S ribosomal RNA", at positions 35 to 154 of the family's 154-position model. The record is from RNAcentral.